This 497-nucleotide ribosomal RNA is filed under the name uncultured bacterium. RNAcentral describes it as "partial 16S ribosomal RNA". It matches the Rfam family "Bacterial small subunit ribosomal RNA", at positions 28 to 507 of the family's 1533-position model. The record is from RNAcentral.
GAUGAACGCUGGCGGCGUGCCUAAUACAUGCAAGUCGAGCGAACGGACGAGAAGCUUGCUUCUCUGAUGUUAGCGGCGGACGGGUGAGUAACACGUGGAUAACCUACCUAUAAGACUGGGAUAACUUCGGGAAACCGUAGCUAAUACCGGAUAAUAUUUUGAACCGCAUGGUUCAAAAGUGAAAGACGGUCUUGCUGUCACUUAUAGAUGGAUCCGCGCUGCAUUAGCUAGUUGGUAAGGUAACGGCUUACCAAGGCAACGAUGCAUAGCCGACCUGAGAGGGUGAUCGGCCACACUGGAACUGAGACACGGUCCAGACUCCUACGGGAGGCAGCAGUAGGGAAUCUUCCGCAAUGGGCGAAAGCCUGACGGAGCAACGCCGCGUGAGUGAUGAAGGUCUUCGGAUCGUAAAACUCUGUUAUUAGGGAAGAACAUAUGUGUAAGUAACUGUGUACAUCUUGACGGUACCUAAUCAGAAAGCCACGGCUAACUACGUG